UCUUGGCAGGGUGCAAUGUGGUGUUCGGGAGGGUCCAUUCGCGCCUUGAGCUCUGGUGUCCAAGUCCCCCUGACCGGGGCCAUCGCCCGUUGAGGGUGCAAGGCCUGUUGGGCAGGGCUGUGUCUCCGAUCUCGGCGCGUCGGGUCCCUUCCUUGGAGUCGGGUUGCUUGAGAGUGCAGCCCAAAGUGGGUGGUAAACUCCACCUAAGGCUAAAUACUUUCCACGAGACCGAUAGCAAACAAGUACCGUGAGGGAAAGUUGCAAAGAACUUUGAACAGAGAGUUCAAGAGUGCGUGAAACCGUUCUGAGGUAAACGGGUGGGAGCGCGAAGGUCGAACGGAUGGGGAGGGAUUCAACUUGGCGUGGCGGCUGGCCGAGCUUGGUUCGUGUCUGGGCGUGCGGGCCUCCCUUAACGGGGAGCUGCCUGCCGCCCCGCGUUCCGCUCCGGCCGUAGUCCGCCGUGCCUUGUGCAUUUCCCUAUUCCCCCUCUCCUAAUAGGACGCCGCGACCGGCUGUCGAGGGGAGCCCAGGAUCUGGUCAGAGCAGUUGCACGGACAAGUAAGGGAUCAGUUCUCUGCGUCCGGUCUGUCUGUCUCCUUCCGCCCGCAGGUCGCUCCCUCCGGACAAGGAACUGUGCGAGCUGGGCCCCUGGGGUCCCUCGUCCAUGUG
RNAcentral lists this ribosomal RNA (669 nucleotides) under Nannaria shenandoa. RNAcentral describes it as "partial large subunit ribosomal RNA". It matches the Rfam family "Eukaryotic large subunit ribosomal RNA", at positions 128 to 555 of the family's 3401-position model. The record is from RNAcentral. Lineage: Eukaryota; Metazoa; Arthropoda; Diplopoda; Polydesmida; Xystodesmidae.